This 247-nucleotide unclassified non-coding RNA is filed under the name plant metagenome. RNAcentral describes it as "partial contains small subunit ribosomal RNA, internal transcribed spacer 1, and 5.8S ribosomal RNA". The stretch from base 1 to 54 matches the Rfam family "Eukaryotic small subunit ribosomal RNA", at positions 1778 to 1831 of the family's 1831-position model. The record is from RNAcentral.
GGAAGUAAAAGUCGUAACAUGGUCUCCGUUGGUGAACCAGCGGAGGGAUCAUUACAGGACUCGCAAGACUCCUACAACCCUGUGAACUUAACUAUAAGCACGUUGCUUCGGCGGGUGUCUCGGAGGGGGUUCUCCCUCCCCGAGACGCUAAACCCGCCGGCAGCCUACUAUACUCUGUCUCUUUGCGUUGGCAUCUCGAGUACAAUCAAACAAGUUAAAACUUUCAACAACGGAUCUCUUGGUUCUG